This 631-nucleotide long non-coding RNA is filed under the name Mytilus galloprovincialis (Mediterranean mussel). The record is from RNAcentral. Lineage: Eukaryota; Metazoa; Mollusca; Bivalvia; Mytilida; Mytilidae.
UAUCAAUUUAAUCAAAAAUUUAAAGAGGUACACAUAAUAAAUCAGCACAUGAAAAAAAGCAGUACUAUACAUGUACCGUAGUUAAAACAAGGGGUAAAAAACAGGUGUUUGGUUUAAAUUUAAGUCUAAGAAUUAAAACCCUGAUAAGCAUAGCCAUUGAACAUGUUGAAGCAGUUUUAGUUUUAUAAAAUGAUAUAAUAAAUCUAUCUCAGCAUCUGUAUAAAAAAGUGUUCACCAUGCAGUUGCGAAAAUAUUAGACCUCAGGCACCGAUUAUUUUUAAAUAACAAAAUAUACAUUUCGAUCGAGAACAAUGUCUUUCAUGAUUCUUCUAUAUACUCUUAUUUAUAUUUAUUUACUUACUUAUAUACAAUUUUGAAAUCUAAAAUGUAAAAGUGCAACAACACUUUAGAUGUAGCAUCGUACAUAUCCCCAUUUAUAUUAAGGACAAAACAAGCAAUGAUUAGUUAUUUUUUUAAGGAAAAAAAAUUGUUAUAAAAUAUUAUUAUUUUCUUCUCCCGGGCGCUAAUUUUCUUCUCCGGGCGCUAAUUUUCCUUCUCCGGGCGCUUUUUCUUUUCCCCGGGCGCUUUUUCUUUUCCCGGGCGCACCCGGGCGCUUUUUAGUAGGACCGCC